Molecule: non-coding RNA, 308 nt
Organism: Cicer arietinum (chickpea)
Lineage: Eukaryota; Viridiplantae; Streptophyta; Magnoliopsida; Fabales; Fabaceae
Source: RefSeq, a predicted model, not a curated record
CAGGUAUAAUGAAUUUGAUCAGCCUGUUUGCCGGGUUUGUGAAGUUGUUUUGAAGUCUGAGUCCCUAUGGGAUGCACACCAAGUUUCUCGUAAGCAUCGUGAGGCAAUAAGUAACCUUAAAGCUAAUGCGGCCGGUUUAACUAAGCAUACCAAUGCGAAGACUGAUAUUCCAAAGGCUAAACCUGAACAGCCUUCAGCCUCACAGUUCAAAGUUCCUCAAAGUUCACAGGAAGUGCCUAAACCUCAGUCAUCAUCAGUUCUUCCAUCAGAUUUUUUUGACAACAAUGAUGCAAAAAAGACAAGAUCUG